This 1173-nucleotide long non-coding RNA is filed under the name Naja naja (Indian cobra). RNAcentral describes it as "lncRNA (ENSNNAG00000013314.1)". The record is from RNAcentral. Lineage: Eukaryota; Metazoa; Chordata; Lepidosauria; Squamata; Elapidae.
CAAGAUCUACUAUUUCUGUCCUUCCACUUAAAAAGAAAGUAUAUAACAUAAGUAAUACAUAAGUUCAAGUAUUGCGUUGUUCUAUUAUUUUAGUUCGUACAGCAUAUUUAUUCAGAUUCUUCAAAAUUCAUGUUUCAAAUAGAUUUUACAAAACCAGAAGCCAAGAGUUGAGAAAUGCCAAGAAUCCAUAGACACUAUCUCAUCUCAGGAAUGCAGCAUGAAGUUCCUUAUUAUGCGACUGUGAAAAAGUUAUUGUUGCAUAUUGCAAGCAUUGAAGUUUAUGAAACCAAAGAUCCCAACUUUAGAAAUGACCAGUCGGACUACAAGACAAGACUUCUUAGUAAAACAGUGAAUGGUUUAAAAUGUAAUAAAUUUUGAUUCCAUCAUUAAUGAAAAUGGAAACAAAAACUUAUAUGUAAUCAAGUUUUAAUCCUGCUUUUUCAGUCUUGCUGUACUAUCACAUUUAAUCUAUCACUAGUUGAAUGCAAUAGUACAACAAUCAUGGUAGUCAUAAAAUUGAAAGCAGGAAUCCUAAGAUCAAAAACUGAUGUGUUUUAUUUAAUUUUUUUUCAAAAACACAAAUCAGACUCUUUUAAAGGAUCUUUCUUUCUACAAUGAAAAAUAUAUUUUUUACUAUUUUGAUAAUUAAUCCUAAUGAAAGUGGUUCUAUAUUUACCAUUUUCUGAGCUAUACCUGGCUGUUUUGGCAGAAGCAGCAAGAAAAGAAAUAAAGCAGUUGAAAUGUCAAAAUACUUAUGGGACAUAAGGCCACAAGAGUAAGGAGAGACUGCUUGCUGGGUGCUUCAAGAAAGGAAGCAAUGUUUAUACAAUAUAAUAAAUAAAUGAACAGAUGAACUACCUUACCACAAAACUGCAGGUCCAUACAGAAUUCCUUUAAAAUGUAAAAUUAAAAGGUGAAACAUAGCUCAAUACAGGGAUUGUAUCUCAGUAUAAGAAUUAAGAAUGAUUGGAUUAUGUUUUGUUGUGUUCAAGUUGUGCAAACAUUGUGCAAAGACCAUUGUGUUCGAUACAGUUUAUGGAUAACUCCUAACCAAAAGAGAAAUAUAUUAGGUUGAAAUGUUCCAAUGUUGAUAUAAUUAAGUGAGCUGAAUGAAACAUUAUUUGUCUUGCCCAGGAUUUUCUACCUUCAUCUCAAAUAAAUUUUACAUAGCUC